AUGAACGCUAGCUACAGGCUUAACACAUGCAAGUCGAGGGGCAGCGGGAUUGAAGCUUGCUUCAAUUGCCGGCGACCGGCGCACGGGUGAGUAACGCGUAUCCAACCUUCCGUACACUCAGGGAUAGCCUUUCGAAAGAAAGAUUAAUACCUGAUGGUAUGAUGAGAUUGCAUGAUAGCAUCAUUAAAGAUUUAUCGGUGAUGGAUGGGGAUGCGUCUGAUUAGCUUGUUGGCGGGGUAACGGCCCACCAAGGCGACGAUCAGUAGGGGUUCUGAGAGGAAGGUCCCCCACAUUGGAACUGAGACACGGUCCAAACUCCUACGGGAGGCAGCAGUGAGGAAUAUUGGUCAAUGGGCGAGAGCCUGAACCAGCCAAGUAGCGUGCAGGAUGACGGCCCUAUGGGUUGUAAACUGCUUUUAUAAGGGAAUAAAGUGGGAGUCGUGACUCUUUUUGCAUGUACCUUAUGAAUAAGGACCGGCUAAUUCCGUG
RNAcentral lists this ribosomal RNA (489 nucleotides) under uncultured bacterium. RNAcentral's name for it is "bacterial SSU rRNA". It matches the Rfam family "Bacterial small subunit ribosomal RNA", at positions 29 to 507 of the family's 1533-position model. The record is from RNAcentral.